UACGUAGGGGGCAAGCGUUGUCCGGAUUUAUUGGGCGUAAAGAGCGUGUAGGCGGCCAGGUAGGUCCGUUGUGAAAACUCGAGGCUCAACCUCGAGACGUCGGCGGAAACCCUCUGGCUAGAGUCCGGAAGAGGAGAGUGGAAUUCCUGGUGUAGCGGUGAAAUGCGCAGAUAUCGGGAGGAACACCAGUGGCGAAGGCGGCUAGCUGGCCUGUAACUGACGCUGAGGCGCGAAGGCUAGGGGAGCGAACAGG
Molecule: ribosomal RNA, 253 nt
Filed under: uncultured bacterium
Lineage: Bacteria
Description: partial 16S ribosomal RNA
Rfam family: Bacterial small subunit ribosomal RNA
Source: RNAcentral